CCUGGCGGCGAUAGCGCGGUGGUCCCACCUGACCCCAUGCCGAACUCAGAAGUGAAACGCCGUAGCGCCGAUGGUAGUGUGGGGCUUCCCC
This 91-nucleotide ribosomal RNA is filed under the name Pectobacterium brasiliense. The record is from RNAcentral. Lineage: Bacteria; Pseudomonadati; Pseudomonadota; Gammaproteobacteria; Enterobacterales; Pectobacteriaceae.